This 72-nucleotide transfer RNA is filed under the name Elusimicrobia bacterium RIFCSPHIGHO2_02_FULL_57_9. RNAcentral's name for it is "tRNA-Thr". It matches the Rfam family "tRNA". From Rfam's summary of the family: Transfer RNA (tRNA) molecules are approximately 80 nucleotides in length. Lineage: Bacteria; Pseudomonadati; Elusimicrobiota. The record is from RNAcentral. RNAcentral also lists the same sequence under 1 other name.
GCCGAGGUAGCUCAACGGUAGAGCAAACGCUUCGUAAGCGUUAGGUUGUGGGUUCGAAUCCCAUCCUCGGCU